This 520-nucleotide long non-coding RNA is filed under the name Homo sapiens (human). RNAcentral's name for it is "HSALNT0276050". Lineage: Eukaryota; Metazoa; Chordata; Mammalia; Primates; Hominidae. The record is from RNAcentral.
AAAAGAUUUCUACUGAAUCACUUGUCAAGAAGCGCCCUCUCUGGGGAGAAGGGAACGUGACUGGAUUCCCUCACUGUUGUAUCUUGAAUAAACGCUGCUGCUUCAUCCUGUGGGGGCCGUGGCCCUGUCCCUGUGUGGGUGGGGCCUCUUCCAUUUCCCUGACUUAGAAACCACACUCCACUUCUAACAGGGUUUGAGAGGCUUGGUCAGCACUGGGUAGCGUUUUGACUCCAUUCUUGGCUUUCUUCUUUUUCUUUCCAGAAGGAUUUUUGUGCAGAAAUGGGUCUUUUGUUGCCGUGUUAGUCCUCCUUGGAAGGCAGCUCAGAAGGCCUGUGAAAUGUCGGGGGACAGGACCCCCAGGGAGGGAAUCCCAGGCUACGCACCUUAGGGUUCGUUCUCCAGGGAGAGCGACCUCGUCCCCCGAUCCUGACCGCCCUUCCGGCCCACGCUCUCCUGUUUGGCUUCCACAGGCCUGGACUUCUCUGGCUUCUCUGCCCACACACUCCCUGCCCCCAGUGUC